GACGAACGCUGGCGGCGUGCUUAACACAUGCAAGUCGAACGGAAAGGCCGUGCUUGUGUGGGGUGCUCGAGUGGCGAACGGGUGAGUAACACGUGAGUAACCUGCCCUAGACUUUGGGAUAACUUCAGGAAACUAGGGCUAAUACCGGAUAGGAGCUCCCCUUGCAUGGUAGGGGUUGGAACGUUUCAGCGGUCGGGGUUGGACUCGCGGCUUAUGAGCUUGUUGGUGGGGUAGUGGCAUACCAAGGCAGUGAAGGUUACCCGGCAUGAGAGGGUGACCAGCCACAUUGGUACUGAGAUACGGACCAGCAUCGUACGCGAGACAGCAGUGGGGAAUAUGGAACAGUGGCAGGAAGCCUGAUGAAGCAACGUUGCGGGUGGGAAGACGGCAUUCGGGUUGUGAACAGCAUACGCCUGUGACGAAGCGUGAGUGACGGUAAUGGGUAAAGAAGCACCGGCUAACUACGUG
RNAcentral lists this ribosomal RNA (468 nucleotides) under uncultured bacterium. Its description in RNAcentral is "partial 16S ribosomal RNA". It matches the Rfam family "Bacterial small subunit ribosomal RNA", at positions 28 to 507 of the family's 1533-position model. The record is from RNAcentral.